AAUUACAUUUAAACGCAUAAAUGUCAAAUUGCAGCUUUUGUGUUAAUACUAUAUUCUUAAUUCAUUUCAAAAUGCAUCUGUAAAACAGAAUAUCCUCUGAUACUAGUUUUUAUACAUCGGCAGUCAUAUAAUGUUAUGAAGUUGUCGUAGACGUCCCAAUACAUUUGGUUUCAAUACAGUAAAGUGUGUAUAAGUGUAAGGAUCUCUCUGAAAUUGUAAAACAAGGUUGAUACUCAAUUUGAAGAUUGGGAUUGAUUUUUGGGGUUAUUGUCCUUACUGUU
Molecule: long non-coding RNA, 281 nt
Filed under: Mytilus galloprovincialis (Mediterranean mussel)
Lineage: Eukaryota; Metazoa; Mollusca; Bivalvia; Mytilida; Mytilidae
Source: RNAcentral